RNAcentral lists this ribosomal RNA (409 nucleotides) under Dendropsophus leucophyllatus group sp. ABGD cluster 36. RNAcentral describes it as "partial large subunit ribosomal RNA". It matches the Rfam family "Bacterial large subunit ribosomal RNA", at positions 1813 to 2419 of the family's 2925-position model. The record is from RNAcentral. Lineage: Eukaryota; Metazoa; Chordata; Amphibia; Anura; Hylidae.
ACAUCGCCUCUUGCAUAUAUAAGAGGUCCAGCCUGCCCAGUGACUUAGUUCAACGGCCGCGGUAUCCUAACCGUGCGAAGGUAGCGUAAUCACUUGUUCUUUAAAUGAGGACUCGUAUGAAUGGCACCACGAGGGUUACACUGUCUCCUUUCUCUAAUCAAUGAAACUGAUCUCCCCGUGAAGAAGCGGGGAUACACAUAUUAGACGAGAAGACCCUAUGGAGCUUCAAACUAUACAGCACUGGCUUUUAUCUUUUUCCACUUCAGAGUUUUUAAUUUUAUUCUAGCCUUUUGACUAUUAGUUUUAGGUUGGGGUGACCACGGAGCAAAAAUUAACCUCCACGAUGAACAGACCAACUCUUGAGCUAAAAGCCACAACUUUAAGCACCAAUAAACUGACACAAAUUGAC